UACGUAGGGCGCAAGCGUUGUCCGGAAUUAUUGGGCGUAAAGAGCUCGUAGGCGGUUUGUCGCGUCUGCUGUGAAAACCUAAGGCUCAACCUUGGGCUUGCAGUGGGUACGGGCAGACUAGAGUGCGGUAGGGGGUGACUGGAAUUCCUGGUGUAGCGGUGGAAUGCGCAGAUAUCAGGAGGAACACCGAUGGCGAAGGCAGGUCUCUGGGCCACUACUGACGCUGAG
RNAcentral lists this ribosomal RNA (228 nucleotides) under uncultured bacterium. Its description in RNAcentral is "partial 16S ribosomal RNA". It matches the Rfam family "Bacterial small subunit ribosomal RNA", at positions 524 to 750 of the family's 1533-position model. The record is from RNAcentral.